RNAcentral lists this ribosomal RNA (256 nucleotides) under uncultured soil bacterium. Its description in RNAcentral is "partial 16S ribosomal RNA". It matches the Rfam family "Bacterial small subunit ribosomal RNA", at positions 26 to 312 of the family's 1533-position model. The record is from RNAcentral.
AGAACGAACGCUGGCGGCAUGCCUAAUACAUGCAAGUCGAACGAACACUUCGGUGUUAGUGGCGCACGGGUGCGUAACGCGUGGGAAUCUGCCCUUGGGUUCGGAAUAACAGUUGGAAACGACUGCUAAUACCGGAUGAUAUCGAAAGAUCAAAGAUUUAUCGCCCAGGGAUGAGCCCGCGUAGGAUUAGCUAGUUGGUGAGGUAAAGGCUCACCAAGGCACGAUCCUUAGCGGUCUGAGAGGAUGAUCAGCCACA